AGGGGCUUAGGAUAGUAUAAGUCCACGGACCUUCAAAGUCCUAAGCGGGUGUGAAAAUCACCCAGCCCCUG
RNAcentral lists this transfer RNA (71 nucleotides) under Scombrolabrax heterolepis. Its description in RNAcentral is "tRNA-Trp". Lineage: Eukaryota; Metazoa; Chordata; Actinopteri; Scombriformes; Scombrolabracidae. The record is from RNAcentral.